CUCGGCCCUCUCUGUUGCUCAGCCCAGAAGCCUGCCGAGAGCGGGCCGAGCUGCACGCGUCCCCCGGCCCGACGACUUCCUCCUCCUCCUCUCCGUCUCCGGUCCGGCGGUUCUCCCCUCGCUCCCAAGUUGCCCGGCGGGUCGUCGGAGGGUUCGACGCCCAGAGCCUCAGAGGCGGCGCCGCCUCCCCUUCUCUCCCGCGCGACCCGCGCCUCUCGCCCGGUGCUCCUACUCGAGGGGUGGCGAAGGCUGGUGAACCCCUGCGGCCAUCUCUGUUUCGUUCGGUUCGAUUUCCCGUGCUUGUGUAAUGCGUGGGGUUAAUAGAUUUGCUGGGUUAAUUUGUCUACCCCGGAUCUGGGGAGUUCCAGGCUCGACGAGGUCCGAGAAAACAUCGACCAGGGGACAGACUUGGCUGAUGAGCAACAGAUGGAUGCCAUUUGGGAGCACUUCAGCGAGGCUCAGCGGAAUAUCCUCUACCUUCACAAACAUUGGCUUGUGGCCAUGGAAGAGCUGAAAUAUUUGCUAGAUGGAAAUAAAUCACUUCUUCAGGAAAUGGAGGUACUUGAGAUGGAAAGGCAAGGUGCAGCGAAAACAUUUCUUGCUACCAGAAAUUAGUAGGAACCAGAAUGUAUAUCCUAGAAAGGGAAUCCGAAUGUGAAAUUCCAUGGUCUUUAGCAGUUCAAUGCUGCUUUGUAUUGCUAUCUUUAGAUGGGAAAGUAAAACACAUCUAUAAAAUUGUAAGCCAUGAGUACAGAUAUUCCAAGUGAUGGAUCCAGAAAAAAUACCAAGGCGUGAAGAGUACAAAAGAACUAGGCUACAACAGAAACUCAUACUAUGGAUCAACGCAUCUGCCCGUCAUCACUACCACAAUACAGCUAUGUCCGAGUACAUCAUCUCUACGUAUGGAACCAUGUCUCUUUCUCAAGGUCUCGAUGGCAUUGGACGUUUUGAACCAUCAGCAUACACCAAGUUUGCAAUUACUCAGUCGGAAAGCAAAAUCUCUCUCUCUGAAAGAAUGACCCCGGUUAGAUUUGCAGAUCAUGGAUGCACUGACAAACAGUUUAUCAGGGGACACGAAGUGCUAUGACAUACAUUGGGAAACUUAUUCCUUUAUAAGGAAGCUCUGACAUCAGGAAGUUCAUGAGACACCACCCCUCCAAAUGAGAAGCAAGCUCUGUUCCUCCUCUGGAGUGGCAUCUGUUUGAGCCCACGGGUGGUGGUGGUAUCUCCUCAGCAUCUCCAAUCUCUCUGCAACCUCCUUCAUCGUUGGCCGCUCCUCCCCACUCAUGUUCAAGCAUCUCAUAACAAGCAUAAAACAAGGCUUCUAUCUUCCUCCGGCCCGUCGAAGUACAGUGCCUUCUUCCUUGUCAGAAGCUCCAAUAAGACGACACCGAAGCUGUACACAUCACUCUUAUCAGUCAGCCGGCAUGUCAUUAGGUAUUCUGGGUCAAGUGGCGAACCUUUCUGCCUGCCAACCGGAGGCGAAGCAGUCUAGCUUUUAAUGGAGCGUUGGUGGCCAAGCUCCCUUCUCUGGUAGAUCAAAGCUGCACGGAUCAACUGGUGGGGGCUAUCUUAAUCUAUAGGCAUUCUCUGGUUGCUAUUCGAGCAAAUCGUGCAUCGUGCACACAGGCUCGAUAAUGGUUGCAGAUUCGUAGGAAUACUGAACAUGGGCCCCUACCCGUCAGUGAGCAGAAAUAUUUCUGUCCCUAUGAAUGUCUUAUCCUGUCAAGGGUGCACACAGGCUCAACGAUGGUCGCAGGCAGCGUUCGGAGGAAGGGGCGGGAUCUUGAAACCCGGCACAGGCGCGACGAACUUGCCUUCCUCCCUGCUGGCGUCCGGGCGGCUUUCCUCGCCUGAUACAAUGGGAGUAAAAGAACAACAACAUGAGGACACGCUAUUCUACACAAGUAAAUUAUGAACGCAAUGGUGCAGUCAGAGUCUCGUACCUUGUUGCACCCAGGAAAUGGUGCGGCGGCGGGCGGCAGAAGCAGCAGUGUCUGAUGGCUGCAUGCCACUAGGUGGCCCUCCCUUCAUGCCUUGCAUCCAGCCGAGCCUCCGGCGGGUGUGCCGUCGGAGCGGCACGGCCUGGCCAUGGGCGAGAUCGCCGGCCACAAGGACGAGCAGAACCAGAGCCAUGAGCGCUGUUUUGGAUGCCAUUCUUGUUGCCGCCUCUGCUCCUCUUUUGCUAGCUGCUUGGCGAUCUACCCCAAACACCAGUAGACAGUAGUCUGCACUGCAUGCACAAGAUACAUAUGUAGCACAAGUGUGGAUGAGUGGGUCGAUGCAUGACUUGUAGGGUAGGCGUUUGAUGAGACGGUGAACGCGUAGCAAAUGCAUGUAGGAAUCGGUAUCUUGUAGCCCCGCAAAGGGAGGUUUCCGUUACAUCGUGCACGUUUGUCAGCCCCAACAGACGCAAACAAAUUCGGACCAUGCAGCUGCUUCUACACC
This is a long non-coding RNA of Hordeum vulgare subsp. vulgare (domesticated barley), 2448 nucleotides long. RefSeq lists it as uncharacterized. The record is from RefSeq and is a predicted model, not a curated record. NCBI's taxonomy places the organism in Eukaryota, Viridiplantae, Streptophyta, Magnoliopsida, Poales, Poaceae. The transcript is spliced from 13 exons.